This 429-nucleotide ribosomal RNA is filed under the name uncultured bacterium. RNAcentral's name for it is "bacterial SSU rRNA". It matches the Rfam family "Bacterial small subunit ribosomal RNA", at positions 56 to 527 of the family's 1533-position model. The record is from RNAcentral.
UGCAAGUCGUACGAGAGUUUUUAACUCAAGUGGCGGACGGGUGAGUAACACGUAAGAAUUUGCCUUUAGGAGGGGGACAACAACUGGAAACGGUUGCUAAUACCCCAUACGCUUUCGAGUGAAACGGUUUUUCCGCCUAAAGAGAAGCUUGCGGCUGAUUAGCUUGUUGGUAAGGUAAUGGCUUACCAAGGCGACGAUCAGUAUCUGGUCUGAGAGGACGAUCAGACACACUGGAACUGAGACACGGUCCAGACUCCUACGGGAGGCAGCAGUGGGGAAUUUUCCGCAAUGGGCGAAAGCCUGACGGAGCAAUACCGCGUGAGGGAUGAAUGCCUAUGGGUUGUAAACCUCUUUUUUCAGGGAGGAAUCAAUGACGUUACCUGAAGAAUAAGCAUCGGCUAACUCCGUGCCAGCAGCCGCGGUAAUACG